Molecule: long non-coding RNA, 96 nt
Filed under: Columba livia (rock pigeon)
Lineage: Eukaryota; Metazoa; Chordata; Aves; Columbiformes; Columbidae
Description: partial uncharacterized LOC102097946
Source: RNAcentral
CGAACUCUGUGCCGUACAAGUACCCGGUUAUUACAGUUCAGGCCACAGAUCCAGAUUCAGGAGACAACGGACUUCUGCUCUACAGCUUAGUGGAUA